UACGUAGGGUGCGAGCGUAAUCGGAAUUACUGGGCGUAAAGCGUGCGCAGGCGGUUUUGUAAGCCAGAUGUGAAAUCCCCGGGCUCAACCUGGGAAUGGCAUUUGGGACUGCAAGGCUGGAGUGCGGCAGAGGAGACUGGAAUUCCUGGUGUAGCAGUGAAAUGCGUAGAUAUCAGGAGGAAUACCGAUGGCGAAGGCAGGUCUCUGGGCUGACACUGACGCUCAUGCACGAAAGCGUGGGGAGCAAACAGG
Molecule: ribosomal RNA, 252 nt
Filed under: uncultured bacterium
Lineage: Bacteria
Description: partial 16S ribosomal RNA
Rfam family: Bacterial small subunit ribosomal RNA
Source: RNAcentral